RNAcentral lists this ribosomal RNA (253 nucleotides) under uncultured bacterium. RNAcentral describes it as "partial 16S ribosomal RNA". It matches the Rfam family "Bacterial small subunit ribosomal RNA", at positions 524 to 776 of the family's 1533-position model. The record is from RNAcentral.
UACGUAGGGGGCUAGCGUUGUCCGGAAUCAUUGGGCGUAAAGAGCGUGUAGGCGGUCCGGUAAGUCCGCUGUGAAAGUCGGGGGCUCAACCCUCGAAUGCCGGUGGAUACUGUCGGGCUCGAAUCCGGAAGAGGUGAGUGGAAUUCCUGGUGUAGCGGUGAAAUGCGCAGAUAUCAGGAGGAACACCAAUGGCGAAGGCAGCUCACUGGGACGGUAUUGACGCUGAGACGCGAAAGCGUGGGGAGCAAACAGG